Pipistrellus kuhlii (Kuhl's pipistrelle) is the source of this 333-nucleotide long non-coding RNA. RefSeq lists it as uncharacterized. The transcript is spliced from 2 exons. Lineage: Eukaryota; Metazoa; Chordata; Mammalia; Chiroptera; Vespertilionidae. The record is from RefSeq and is a predicted model, not a curated record.
CUCUUCAGUCCACAGACCGACGCUCUAUCCACUGAGCCAAACCGGUUUCGGCUCGGCAGGAUUUUUUUUUUUUUUAAAUGAAGUUUCCUGACUCUUUAAAUGUUGAUAACUUAACUAAAGAAAGCACUGUUUGGGUCAAAGUGUGAUUGCAGGCUGCCAGGUACAACCUUUCAGCUAGUCUUUACUGUACAUCUACUAUGUACUUCACAUAGGUUACUCUGUUUUAUUUACUGGGCAUGGCUACCUCCCUCUCCCUGUGGCUCGACCUCUAGUGAUAUGACCUGCUUACCUGCCCAUUUCUUUUCCUUUUUUAAAAAAUUUAUUUUUCAACUU